CCUGACUGCUAUCGGAUUGAUACUAAGCCAUGCGAGUCAUUGUAGCAAUACAAGGCAGACGGCUCAGUAACGCGUAGUCAACCUACCCUAUGGACGGGGAUAACCUCGGGAAACUGAGAAUAAUACCAGAUAGAACAUUAUGCCUGGAAUGGUUUAUGUUUCAAAUAAUUUAUUGCCGUAGGAUGGGACUGCGGCCUAUCAGUUUGUUGGUGAGGUAAUGGCCCACCAAGACUAUUACAGGUACGGGCUCUGAGAGGAGUAGCCCGGAGAUGGGUACUGAGACACGGACCCAGGCCCUAUGGGGCGCAGCAGGCGAGAAAACUUUGCAAUGUGCGAAAGCACGACAAGGUUAAUCCGAGUGGUUUCUGCUAAAGGAACCUUUUGCCAGUCCUAGAAACACUGUUGAAUAAGGGGUGGGCAAGUUCUGGUGUCAGCCGCCGCGGUAAAACCAGCACCUCAAGUGGUCAGGAUGAUUAUUGGGCCUAAAGCAUCCGUAGCCGGCUCAGUAAGUUUUCGGUUAAAUCUGUACGCUCAACGUACAGGCUGCCGGGAAUACUGCAGAGCUAGGGAGUGGGAGAGGUAGACGGUACUCGGGAGGAAGUGGUAAAAUGCUUUGAUCUUUCGAUGACCACCUGUGGCGAAGGCGGUCUACCAGAACACGUCCGACGGUGAGGGAUGAAAGCUGGGGGAGCAAACCGGAUUAGAUACCCGGGUAGUCCCAGCUGUAAACUAUGCAAACUCAGUGAUGCAUUGACUUAUGGUCAAUGCAGUGUUGCAGGGAAGCCGUUAAGUUUGCCGCCUGGGAAGUACGUACGCAAGUAUGAAAC
This 827-nucleotide ribosomal RNA is filed under the name uncultured archaeon. Its description in RNAcentral is "bacterial SSU rRNA". It matches the Rfam family "Archaeal small subunit ribosomal RNA", at positions 21 to 855 of the family's 1478-position model. The record is from RNAcentral.